ACCUGGGUGGCUCAGUCGGUGAAGCAUCUGACUUCCGCUCAGAUUGUGAUCUCCAGGUC
This 59-nucleotide transfer RNA is filed under the name Felis catus (domestic cat). The record is from Rfam by way of RNAcentral. Lineage: Eukaryota; Metazoa; Chordata; Mammalia; Carnivora; Felidae.